RNAcentral lists this long non-coding RNA (833 nucleotides) under Dasypus novemcinctus (nine-banded armadillo). Its description in RNAcentral is "lncRNA (ENSDNOG00000052651.1)". Lineage: Eukaryota; Metazoa; Chordata; Mammalia; Cingulata; Dasypodidae. The record is from RNAcentral.
CCUGGAAUACGCCAUUUCCUAAGGACAGAACUCUGACGGGCUACCAGGGCCCAGACGAGGAGGGGAACGGGAACUGCCGGCCCAGUAGGUUGCAGAGCACGGCCCAGCCUGCAAGCACUACGGAGAACCGACUCAGCAAGGUGACGCAACAAAAAGGGAGACAAGUAAAAACGCAGAAGAGCAUGCAGCGAAUGAACAAAGAGAGCAAAACAACAAGCAAGCCACGAGGGGGCAGGAUAAAUACACACAGAAGAUCGCACAGCGAAUGGACACAGAGAGCAGACAGCAAGCAAAAAGCCCCAAGGCAGGGGGGAUUAAAAAAAAACCUCCGUGGGCUGUGCGCUCUCCCCUUCCCCUAGGGCCUCUGACAUCUCGGGCUGAGUUGGGAGUAGGAGUUCUUGAGAAGCGCUGCCCCUGACCUGGUAAAGCCCCUUACGACCCGACACAAGCAAGAAAUAAACUUCCUCUGCAUUUGAGCCUAGGAAUUCUGUUGUUGUUUUUUCUGUUGUAUCUGCAAGCUUUACCUUAACCAGGGUAGGUACAUACAACUAGUAUAUAUGGUAUAAAUAACACAGGGAAUAACUAGUCUCAGCUUACAGGUGAGGAAACCGAGGCAUAGGGAAGCUGAAGCGCUUGUCCAGGCUAAGGGGUAGAGCCAGGACUUGAACCCAGGGUCUGCAUUCUGCAAGGGUAGGCCAGGGGGCUGGGAGGCCCUGAGCACCUCCUCACUGCCACCCAGGCCCCCUGUGCCUGUGGGCUGGGUGAAGCGCAGCAGCUCCCUGCACCCUGGCCCCUGCCUGCCACCCACUCAUUGCUCUGGUUCCUUCCCUGCC